GGCACUACGGUGCUGAAGCAACAAAUGCCCUGCUUCCAGGAAAAGCCUCUAAGCAUCAGGUAACAUCAAAUCGUACCCCAAACCGACACAGGUGGUCAGGUAGAGAAUACCAAGGCGCUUGAGAGAACUCGGGUGAAGGAACUAGGCAAAAUGGUGCCGUAACUUCGGGAGAAGGCACGCUGAUAUGUAGGUGAAGUCCCUCGCGGAUGGAGCUGAAAUCAGUCGAAGAUACCAGCUGGCUGCAACUGUUUAUUAAAAACACAGCACUGUGCAAACACGAAAGUGGACGUAUACGGUGUGACGCCUGCCCGGUGCCGGAAGGUUAAUUGAUGGGGUCAGCGCAAGCGAAGCUCUUGAUCGAAGCCCCGGUAAACGGCGGCCGUAACUAUAACGGUCCUAAGGUAGCGAAAUUCCUUGUCGGGUAAGUUCCGACCUGCACGAAUGGCGUAAUGAUGGCCAGGCUGUCUCCACCCGAGACUCAGUGAAAUUGAACUCGCUGUGAAGAUGCAGUGUACCCGCGGCAAGACGGAAAGACCCCGUGAACCUUUACUAUAGCUUGACACUGAACAUUGAGCCUUGAUGUGUAGGAUAGGUGGGAGGCUUUGAAGUGUGGACGCCAGUCUGCAUGGAGCCGACCUUGAAAUACCACCCUUUAAUGUUUGAUGUUCUAACGUUGACCCGUAAUCCGGGUUGCGGACAGUGUCUGGUGGGUAGUUUGACUGGGGCGGUCUCCUCCUAAAGAGUAACGGAGGAGCACGAAGGUUGGCUAAUCCUGGUCGGACAUCAGGAGGUUAGUGCAAUGGCAUAAGCCAGCUUGACUGCGAGCGUGACGGCGCGAGCAGGUGCGAAAGCAGGUCAUAGUGAUCCGGUGGUUCUGAAUGGAAGGGCCAUCGCUCAACGGAUAAAAGGUACUCCGGGGAUAACAGGCUGAUACCGCCCAAGAGUUCAUAUCGACGGCGGUGUUUGGCACCUCGAUGUCGGCUCAUCACAUCCUGGGGCUGAAGUAGGUCCCAAGGGUAUGGCUGUUCGCCAUUUAAAGUGGUACGCGAGCUGGGUUUAGAACGUCGUGAGACAGUUCGGUCCCUAUCUGCCGUGGGCGCUGGAGAACUGAGGGGGGCUGCUCCUAGUACGAGAGGACCGGAGUGGACGCAUCACUGGUGUUCGGGUUGUCAUGCCAAUGGCACUGCCCGGUAGCUAAAUGCGGAAGAGAUAAGUGCUGAAAGCAUCUAAGCACGAAACUUGCCCCGAGAUGAGUUCUCCCUGACUCCUUGAGAGUCCUGAAGGAACGUUGAAGACGACGACGUUGAUAGGCCGGAUGUGUAAGCGCAGCGAUGCGUUGAGCUAACCGGUACUAAUGAACCGUGAGGCUUAACCUU
Molecule: ribosomal RNA, 1376 nt
Filed under: Escherichia coli
Lineage: Bacteria; Pseudomonadati; Pseudomonadota; Gammaproteobacteria; Enterobacterales; Enterobacteriaceae
Description: partial 23S ribosomal RNA
Rfam family: Bacterial large subunit ribosomal RNA
Source: RNAcentral